This is a long non-coding RNA of Syngnathus acus (greater pipefish), 1125 nucleotides long. RefSeq lists it as uncharacterized. The transcript is spliced from 2 exons. NCBI's taxonomy places the organism in Eukaryota, Metazoa, Chordata, Actinopteri, Syngnathiformes, Syngnathidae. The record is from RefSeq and is a predicted model, not a curated record.
CGUCAGCGCACGCCGACGUCAUCUUGAGGCGCAGCUCGGUCUGAGUGGGAACCGCAAGGCUGAGCUCGGCGCUCAAAGACUCGGGACCUGCUGCAUGCAAGACACGCCACAAUAAAACAAAACUCCACUCACGUCAAAGGGCGUGCAGAGGAUGGGGCAAUGAGGAGAUGCCCCACCCCCCUACGUGAGUCGGAAGGAGACGAUUGGCUCUUGCAGACAGUUAGAGAAGACAUUAUUGGCUAGCGUACCUCGAGGAAAUCAGGAGGGCGGAGCGGGUUCGCCGAGUCGCGUGGGAGGGACAGCACAAGAAAGAAGAAGAAGGACACCAUGGGGAGGGGGCUCAUGUUAUCACACUCCCACCCAGGAGACACUGACAACUACGCUGGGCUCACUCCGCCGUUGCCCUUUUGAAGCUUAAAAAAACAAGAUGAGGAGCUCCCGGUCUCAAUUGCAAUUUGGACGCGUCAAGCGUACUUUUGCACUGCCAGAUUUGACAGCCGUUUAAACGCUCUUACAUGGCAUUCCGAAGAAAUCGUGACCAAGAAAUAAGACUCGUGCUCCAGAUUUGAGGGCGGCCAAAACGGAGUCAGCCCGGUGUAGUUGGGUGGCCGAGAUCCAAAGAGCAGAUAGCCGUGGCCUCUCACCUCUCCUCUCGACGAUCUGGAGGUAACCUGUGGACAGGUACUGCUCCACAUCCUGCUGGAAGGCCUCCUCCAGCAGCUUAUGUUUGUCUUUCGGCUUCCGCUGCCCGUCAUCGCCAGCGUCAGCACACUGAGAGCGGGACCCCUUGGGCGUGGGAUCACAGUCCACCUCCGCUGCAAACAUUUCAGGGUGCACAGAAAGAGAACGUCACGAUUGGUGGAAGCCAAGGCCGGGCCUUCGUUUGUACGUGCGGCGGGCACAAAUGGCUCCCCUCGACUUCUUUGCUCCAUGUGAUUGCAUGUAAGCGCCCUUUUGAUAUCUGCGAAGCAGCAUAAAAGACCCCGUGAGCUAAAUAUGAGCUACCGCUAAAAAUAGAAGCCCCCGGAGCAGCAAGAAGACGUGGCAGGCGGCGCAAAAUGUAGUUGAGCUUACAAGAAGGAGGAACAAAGUGCAAAGAAAAGGGAUUAGAACGUCCACGUUGGU